Molecule: ribosomal RNA, 464 nt
Filed under: uncultured fungus
Lineage: Eukaryota; Fungi
Description: eukaryotic LSU rRNA
Rfam family: 5.8S ribosomal RNA (bases 141-294)
Source: RNAcentral
UCCGUAGGUGAACCUGCGGAAGGAUCAUUACCGAGUUUGAAUCUUACGAUUCAUCUCCCACCCCAUGUGUAUUGACUUGUCUCCGGCGGGAAACCGUUUGGAACAAUCAACUCUUGUCUCUCAGAGACUAAAAAAAUUAAAACUUUCAACAACGGAUCUCUUGGUUCUGGCAUCGAUGAAGAACGCAGCGAAAUGCGAUAAGUAAUGUGAAUUGCAGAAUUUAGUGAAUCAUCGAAUCUUUGAACGCACAUUGCACCCCUUGGUAAUCCUUGGGGUAUACCUGUUCGAGCGCCGUUUGUGUCUUAAGGCUUUGCCUUGCGUUGAUGCUGUCCCGAUAGGGACUCAUCUAAACACAUCGGCGCCUGUCUCGGCCCGGAACGCAAUAAACUGCGCGAAUGGUCUUGGCGGGCGCCAAUUUCCGAAAGCAUGGCCUCGGAUCAGGUAGGGAUACCCGCUGAACUUAA